RNAcentral lists this transfer RNA (83 nucleotides) under Acetobacteraceae bacterium. Its description in RNAcentral is "tRNA-Leu". It matches the Rfam family "tRNA". Rfam says of the family: Transfer RNA (tRNA) molecules are approximately 80 nucleotides in length. Their secondary structure includes four short double-helical elements and three loops (D, anti-codon, and T loops). The record is from RNAcentral. Lineage: Bacteria; Pseudomonadati; Pseudomonadota; Alphaproteobacteria; Acetobacterales; Acetobacteraceae.
GCGCGAGUGGCGAAAUGGUAACCGCAGGGGUCUCAAAAACCCCCGGGGGCAACCCCUUGCCGGUUCGAGUCCGGCCUCGCGCA